This 376-nucleotide long non-coding RNA is filed under the name Monodelphis domestica (gray short-tailed opossum). Its description in RNAcentral is "lncRNA (ENSMODG00000044850.1)". Lineage: Eukaryota; Metazoa; Chordata; Mammalia; Didelphimorphia; Didelphidae. The record is from RNAcentral.
UUGUCUUCAAGAAUCUGAAAAGCUGUGAUGUAGGUGUGGGAAGAAAUGGGUCCUGCCAAGUCCCAGAGAAAAGAAUAUAAAGAAUCAAAUUUUGAUUUAAGCUAUGGUCAGAGACAGAAGAGUUUCUCCCACCCAAAAUGCUUUAACGGUUUCUGAAGAAUGGCAGUGAAGAUGGAUACAGCUACUUUUGAAGUUCACCCAUUGAGUCCCAGAGGGUCUAUAAUUUGUAUCUGUGGAGGAUGGUCUUACUUGUGUCUUACUGUGAGAGGAUGGAUGAACUUGAAGAUCCUUAAAGUAUUGAACCAGGUGUAUUUAUUCAUUUAUUCAUUAUGCUAGAGGAUAAAAUAAAGAGAUAAUUUUAAAAUGGUUCUUUAUU